AGUGGCUCUCGGAGUGACUCCCCUGCUACUGCGGGCUCCACUCUCCUGGAUCCAUCUGUGGAAUGCAUGUUCGACCCGGAUGAUCUCCAUCACCCGAGGUCAGCUGAAUGGCUCCCAGAGGACCAUGUGGCACGUUACCUAGAAAACUGGGUACGGCGCCCCCUCAGUAAGGCGGCCCGGAGUAAGUUCAGGGCUGAAUGCCCCUUUGGUGCCAAACAAAGUGUGUGAG
Molecule: non-coding RNA, 229 nt
Organism: Pelobates cultripes (western spadefoot toad)
Lineage: Eukaryota; Metazoa; Chordata; Amphibia; Anura; Pelobatidae
Source: the annotation of a GenBank genome assembly